GAUGAAGAACGUAGCGAAAUGCGAUAAGUAAUGUGAAUUGCAGAAUUCAGUGAAUCAUCGAAUCUUUGAACGCACAUUGCGCCCGCCAGUAUUCUGGCGGGCAUGCCUGUCUGAGCGUCAUUUCAACCCUCAUGCCCCUAGGGCGUGGUGUUGGGGAUCGGCCAAAGCCCGCGAGGGACGGCCGGCCCCUAAAUCUAGUGGCGGACCCGUCGUGGCCUCCUCUGCGAAGUAGUGAUAUUCCGCAUCGGAGAGCGAUGAGCCCCUGCCGUUAAACCCCCAACUUUCCAAGGUUGACCUCAGAUCAGGUAGGAAUACCCGCUGAACUUAAGCAUAUCAAUAGCGGAGGA
Molecule: unclassified non-coding RNA, 347 nt
Filed under: soil metagenome
Description: partial contains 5.8S ribosomal RNA, internal transcribed spacer 2, and large subunit ribosomal RNA
Rfam family: 5.8S ribosomal RNA (bases 1-120)
Source: RNAcentral